UACGGAGGGUGCAAGCGUUAUCCGGAUUCACUGGGUUUAAAGGGUGCGUAGGUGGGCAAGUAAGUCAGUGGUGAAAUCUCCGGGCUUAACCCGGAAACUGCCAUUGAUACUAUUUGUCUUGAAUACUGUGGAGGUCAGCGGAAUAUGUCAUGUAGCGGUGAAAUGCUUAGAUAUGACAUAGAACACCAAUUGCGUAGGCAGCUGGCUACACAAAUAUUGACACUGAGGCACGAAAGCGUGGGGAUCAAACAGG
Molecule: ribosomal RNA, 253 nt
Filed under: uncultured bacterium
Lineage: Bacteria
Description: partial 16S ribosomal RNA
Rfam family: Bacterial small subunit ribosomal RNA
Source: RNAcentral